This is an RNA transcript of Prosopis cineraria, 904 nucleotides long. RefSeq lists it as uncharacterized. NCBI's taxonomy places the organism in Eukaryota, Viridiplantae, Streptophyta, Magnoliopsida, Fabales, Fabaceae. The transcript is spliced from 3 exons. The record is from RefSeq and is a predicted model, not a curated record.
CGUGGUAGUGGCGGAUCUUGGGUUUUAGGGCUUAAGAAUUAGCGAGGAAGAAGAUCAAAAGACCCUGGAAGAUGAAAACAAUGUCUUUGUUGGCUGAAAUUGGUUCACAAAGAACAGGAGAGAAAAGUAGAACACAGGUUGCUUCAGUUCAGUGUUUCCGAAGACCAAAUCGAAUGACUCAAAAUGAUAUGCUGGACAGUACUUGGUGGAACAAGGCAACAUCGUUUGGCGUUUACUCUCUAAGAAAGUCACUAGUAAAGACAAAAAAUUCACGAAGGGGGAAGACAAGAGUUGAGGACAGCCCGGAGAUUGAGUUGCCGCCGUCACCUCUGCCAUUGGGCCCAAUUGUCGUCAACAGAGCUCAUCGCCGUUAUCUCCCUCUUAGUUGCCAUCGCAGGUGAGAGUGGUCAGAGAAGUAUGAGUGAGAGGCAAAGGAAGUAGGUCACGGUCACGGAGGCUUGGAGGGUAAAGAUGGGAGUGAAAAAGAUGGAAGUGCGUUCCACAGUUUUCUGCGGUCAGUCCAUAAGAGAGUUGUGCCCUUGAAUACCAUACAAGAACCUUUAUUUCUCCAAUCCCAAUUCUUACACAUUAACAAGGCACUAAUUUUAGCAUUUUCGGGCCUACACCGGCGUAAUUGUUGUGGUACUCGUCAACAGGUAUUGCGGUGGAAGGAGCCACGUGUACAGUGGAGUUUCCCUGGGAAGAGGCUCGUUGAAUUUCCUUCAACAUUUUCAUUGAGUGGAUUCUUAGUCAAGAAAAACAAGGAGAAGAAAGAAGAUAGACACGUGGCUGCCCGCUACAUAAUAUUCAUUUUGGUUAUUGAUAAUAUUGUUAGGGAAAUAUCCUUUAUAGUUGCAUGCAGCUCGUGGGACAAUUUUCGAAACUUCAUGGACUACCUUCUAAA